AGUGAACGCUGGCGGUAGGCCUAACACAUGCAAGUCGAACGGCAGCACAGUAAGAGCUUGCUCUUACGGGUGGCGAGUGGCGGACGGGUGAGGAAUACAUCGGAAUCUACUUUUUCGUGGGGGAUAACGUAGGGAAACUUACGCUAAUACCGCAUACGACCUACGGGUGAAAACAGGGGAUCUUCGGACCUUGCGCGAUUGAAUGAGCCGAUGUCGGAUUAGCUAGUUGGCGGGGUAAAGGCCCACCAAGGCGACGAUCCGUGGCUGGUCUGAGAGGAUGAUCAGCCACACUGGAACUGAGACACGGUCCAGACUCCUACGGGAGGCAGCAGUGGGGAAUAUUGGACAAUGGGCGCAAGCCUGAUCCAGCCAUACCGCGUGGGUGAAGAAGGCCUUCGGGUUGUAAAGCCCUUUUGUUGGGAAAGAAAAGCAGCAGGUUAAUACCCCGCUGUUCUGACGGUACCCAAAGAAUAAGCACCGGCUAACUUCGUG
Molecule: ribosomal RNA, 492 nt
Filed under: uncultured bacterium
Lineage: Bacteria
Description: partial 16S ribosomal RNA
Rfam family: Bacterial small subunit ribosomal RNA
Source: RNAcentral